RNAcentral lists this ribosomal RNA (255 nucleotides) under uncultured bacterium. Its description in RNAcentral is "partial 16S ribosomal RNA". It matches the Rfam family "Bacterial small subunit ribosomal RNA", at positions 524 to 776 of the family's 1533-position model. The record is from RNAcentral.
UACGAAGGGGGCUAGCGUUGUUCGGAUUUACUGGGCGUAAAGCGCACGUAGGCGGAUCGUUAAGUCGGGGGUGAAAUCCUGGAGCUCAACUCCAGAACUGCCUUCGAUACUGGCGAUCUUGAGUCCGGAAGAGGUGAGUGGAAUUCCGAGUGUAGAGGUGAAAUUCGUAGAUAUUCGGAGGAACACCAGUGGCGAAGGCGGCUCACUGGCUCGAUACUGACGCUGAGGUGCGAAAAGCGUGGGGGAGCAAACAGG